UGUCUACUGAGAUGUUCGUGAUUGACGUUAAAAAAAGCCCUUGAGCCUUAGAUACUUACCUCGGGUUCUGGAAGGUAGAUUGUGUGCAUGACUGCUUGGUAUUUGCCAGCGGUAAGCCUGAUAAAUACCCGUAUGAACCCACUUGAACUUUCCGGUUCAAGGUUAAUUAACUCAACACGGCAACCUUGGUGGCAUC
Molecule: non-coding RNA, 196 nt
Filed under: Gammaproteobacteria bacterium
Lineage: Bacteria; Pseudomonadati; Pseudomonadota; Gammaproteobacteria
Description: 6S RNA
Rfam family: 6S / SsrS RNA
About the family: E. coli 6S RNA was the first non coding RNA to be sequenced, but its function was unknown until recently. It consists of 184 nucleotides that fold into an extended hairpin structure with a large single-stranded internal bulge.
Source: RNAcentral